GUGUCAGCCGCCGCGGUAAUACGGAGGGUGCGAACGUUAAUCGGAAUCACUGGGCGUAAAGCGCGCGUAGGCGGUUUGUUAAGUGGGAUGUGAAAGCCCCGGGCUUAACCUGGGAAUUGCAUUUCAAACUGGCGAACUAGAGUGCGGUAGAGGGAGGUAGAAUUUCCUGUGUAGCGGUGAAAUGCGUAGAUAUAGGAAGGAAUACCAGUGGCGAAGGCGGCCUCCUGGAUCGACACUGACGCUAAGGCGCGAAAGCGUGGGGAGCAAACAGGAUUAGAAACCCGCGUAGUCC
RNAcentral lists this ribosomal RNA (292 nucleotides) under uncultured bacterium. Its description in RNAcentral is "partial 16S ribosomal RNA". It matches the Rfam family "Bacterial small subunit ribosomal RNA", at positions 505 to 796 of the family's 1533-position model. The record is from RNAcentral.